GCAGGCUUUCAAAUCUGUUGACCAUCUCUGCUGUAACUCUUGGGAAGACAAUGACUUAUGAUCUCCUUGGCAGCCAAAGAUGCUGCAUAGAAAGAAAUAGACCGACUUAACAAACAGGAGGAAAUGCACUUUCUACUUAAGUAUGUUUCCCAGUAUACUACUGAAUCCUAACAGGGCCUAAAAUGGAUAAAGCCAUUGCUUCGCUUUCUUAAACCCCUAUGGGAGAUGUAUGAACGAAGAGCCUUCUGCUGGCUCCCUGGAUAAGUACAUGAAAGGAGGAGGCUUGCUCUCUGCCUGCUUGCUCUUGCUCUCCCCGGCAAGUAUAUUUCUUCACCGGCAUUAGAGCCUUCUUCAGGAUUCUGAUGUAUCCUGAGGACAAGCUGAAACAUCAUCCAGACCUGUGAACUGACAACUACUAGAUUAUUGGACCUUUCAUUGGGAUCUCAGAAACUGCCACACGGAACCAAGAAAUAUCCAAUGGAAGGAGGAAAGAGGACAUCCUGGGAACCCUGAAGUGGGCAGGAACCAGCGGAAGUAGAAGACACUCUUAUCACAUGUCACAUGCUUUCCAGUAUGGGGAAACCAUGCAAGAUGCAGGUGCCUGAGGGCACAGUGAACACCCAGGAAUUGGCACCCUUCAACACUGUCUACAGCUCUGAGCCUAACAAAUAGCUCCACUGAAAGAAGAACUAGUAUGUGGAAAUAAGUCCUAGGAAGCCGAUCUUUCUGUGCUUCACCCACAAGUUUCACUCAGGAGCAGGAAGUAGGAACAUGCUGUCCUUGUGCUUGUAUCUCAGAUUCAAAGGUUGCAGAGAACAAAGACAGAGGCUAAAUUCUGAUUCUGCAUUCCACAUAAAGAGGCCACUGGCUGAAAAUCCAGUUGGGAUGUAAUGAAUCCAUAGAUACAAUGAGGAUGUCAGUUUUAUCACCUUGACAGUGCCGCUCCUUGUGCAAGAAAUUCCUAGACCAUGAAAGACCAGGAGAGCAAAGAGCACAAGAUUUACUAAGCCCAGCCGUUCCACGUUACUCAUUGGGUCCUGUCAACAUCCUGAUGCCUAAUGAGAGCAACAAAGUUUUCAAUAGAGAGAAGGGUUCAACUACAAGGGAGCCUUUCUGCUGAGGCAGGCAUCUAUAAAGUCAUGGCAAAGCCAAUGAUGGACAUCCUCUUAAAUAGUCCCCAGCACUACAUUCUAGGUCUGGAUAGAUGGUUCAGCAGUAAAUCACACCAAUUAUUCUUCCAAAGAACCUAGCUUCCAUUCUUAGUAUCAGUCUGGAACUCUAAUUCCAGAGGAUCCAAUGUCCCCUUUUGGCCUUACACUUGUACUGUACAGAUGGCAUAUACACAUACUCUCAUGUGCAUGCACAUAAAGAUAAAUAAAACAUGAUCUUUCAUAACAAGUGUCUUUUACAGAAUGUAUUUUUUAACGUUUUUCACCAAUUCCAACUUGUCUUGUUUUCCCAAGUCAUAUCUUUGCUCUCACACUAGAAGUUCCCACUUCAUUCUUUCAAAUUUGUAAGACAGGGAUUUGAAAGUCAUUAGAAGUUACUAGCUCAGAGGACUUGGGUAGCUAUUAGCUUUUCCUGUACCUUAACCUCCUGAGCUAAGCUUACAAAGAAACUGAGAAAGGCUCCAUUGAUCUCAAAGACAACCCCUCCCCCAUAAUGGCCUGUAUUUAAAGGCACAAAGAUUAGGUUAUAUAGAAACAUUUAUUACUGGAGAUCUACUAUUCACGUCAAUCACUAUAGGUAAUAAUAAUAAUUACACACACACACACACACACACACACACACACACACACUAUUCUUUGUUCAAGGAAGGGAUUAGUGUCCCACUGUUAGGAGAUUGCUUAUCACAUGUAGUGAAUUUAGACUGAGAUGUGUGAAUCAGACCCUAUAAAUGUUCCUAAUAUAAAUUAUUCAUCUAAAGUCAAGGACUUAUAAGUCAUCUUGAAGUUUGAUCUCUUGAAUUGCAAUAUCUGAAGUCCAAAACCUUGAUGGAUGGUCACCUUCAACCACAUAGGGCAAAACAGUUCAUAGAUUUCUUUUACCUAUCACUAUCAUCAUAUGUUGUGAGCCUAUCAGCUAUAAAGUCAGAUAUGUGCAAUUAUUUGGAGUAAUGUUGGUACCUGACUGGAGAAGGAAGCAUGAUAAGAUGCAUGAGCUUUGGGGUGAAUCAGAACCAAAUAGAAAUGUGGGCUCCUUUGUGUUUUAUCUGUGUUACCUUGACCAAGCAAAUAAUUUUCGCAUAUGUGUAAGAUACAUACUCUCUCUCUGUCUCUCAAUACAUAUGUACACAUACAUAUUCAUACUCACACAUAAACACACACUCUCCACAUACUUCAUUCUCUCUCUCUCUCUCUCUCUCUCUCUCUCUCUCUCUCUCACACACACACACACACA
This is a long non-coding RNA of Rattus norvegicus (Norway rat), 2400 nucleotides long. RefSeq lists it as uncharacterized. The record is from RefSeq and is a predicted model, not a curated record. NCBI's taxonomy places the organism in Eukaryota, Metazoa, Chordata, Mammalia, Rodentia, Muridae.